CUCUGGUGCUAUGACAACAACGCUGCUGCCUUCCCACCAAUCACACCUCUAUCUCCUCAGACACAUAUGCAUGCUGUUCUGUCCAAGUAUUUAAGGUUUAACCUCUUCUAGAUGGUAUUAUGGCGUAUGAUAGAUGUAUUUGUAGACGUCAUGUAAUGGGAGGUUGUGAUGGGUGAAUAUUGAAAAACCCUUUUAGAACAUGCCUGGGUCAUAUUUUUACUUCAAAAUCAAAAGAAAUAAUGCAAAAUUAUAUUUUGCAUAAUGAAAUGGAACCUAUUUAUAGCUUUACUGCAUUGUGACGUUAUUUUGAUGACAAUGUCAUAUAUUCCCCUAAAAUUGAAAGAAAAAAAUCAGGAUUAUAUUUUGCAUGAUGAAAUGUAUUGCAUUAUGACAUUAUUUUAAUGACAGUAAAGCACAGACUUUCCUUCAUAUUCUCAUUACCAUAAUGCAAUAAAAAAGUCAUUUUCAUUACUUUUAUAUGAAAGCAAAAAAAAAAAAAUCUAAUUAUUUCUGUAUCAUGGUAGAUUUUUUUUUGCUGUAUUUAUUUAACCUUUAAAUUACAUUGAUUCAAAUAGUAAUAAUAAAAAUGUAUUUUGGUAAUACACAAAUCUAUUGAGAAUAAUGGGGGAAAAAUCUCCAGACACAUGAUGAUAAUAAGAACAGGAAGGAGACUUGUUUAAUUUUCAUAAAAAUAAUAUUCCAAUUGGAAAAAAAGCACCAUUCAUACAAUAAGCUUAUAAAAAUAUAAUUAAUAGUUUUCUUUUGAUUUGGUGAUUAAAUUUGCCUUAGACAUGUUUUCUUUCUGAGUUGCGCUCUUUAUUUUGCAUACUUUAUCUCAGUGGGAGAAUUUGCCCUGAGGUGGGCGGAGCUCUGUGGGAAAGGUGUGAUAAGUGGGCGGAGUCUGCAUUUGUGAGAGGCGGGUUUGAAUUCUUGUGUAAACGUGGUGCUCUCCACAGGGUCAUACCAGAGCCGUUCAGACGGACCAAAAGGAGCAGAACCACACGCAUUCCUGCUCCCAAUCUCAGUCAUUCCAAGACUGAAGGAAAGGGGGAAGGGGAAGAGUGGGGUGGGGGGGGGGUCGCUGAAGAGACACAGCCCCCAUCCCAAGCUGUUUCAGUUCCCGUCCAGUUCACGUGGGAGUCAGAAUGAGUUGGAGACAGAAUGUGGACAGCGAUACAGGAAACAUGAGAUUUUAGAAAGGACGCGUGUCAUUGGGUCACAGGAUCGCCCCCUGGGAAGCUCCAUCGUGGCACGGAGAGGGAAACAGAGGCGUUAUUGUACUGGAGCCGGAUGGAAAUUAAAGGCCUGUGAUCGGAGCUCGGAGCAAAUAAACUCAUUUCAACGCAGCUUUGUGUAGUCAUGUGUGUCUGAAUCCCGUCUCGUUACGCUCGGCUGCACGGCGCGGGGACGAGGGGUGGGAGGAGAGACCCCAGGGUUCGGCAGAGACUUCCACAGGGGGAAAACUCAGAUAAUGGUUUUCUGGAAACUGGAUUUGGUUAAUCUGUUCUCGGUGUAUCACACGGGGCUCAGGUAAUCAGAGGAACACAUGCCAUCGCUUGUCCUUCAGAAAAUACUCCUCUGAGCUCCAAAAGUUUCUUGGUCUGACCUGCGAUGUGUGUUUGAGAAAGUGCUGAUUAUCAUUUGUUGGUUUGGAUUUAGUGUGUUUGCUUUCUAUAUGUGCAAUUUUUUUGUAUUAUUACAAUUAUUUUUUUGUAUGAGAUGAAAGAAAAUUUAAAGAAUUAAAAUGCAAAAACUAGGACUGUCGAGGGAUUAUAAUGUAUUAAUCUAAUCAAUUACAUGAUGUGCUGAUGAAUUUUUUUAAUUAAAUGGCAUGUCAUGUAAUUAAUUAGAUAAAAAAAAUUAAGUCACACAUUAAUCUGGGAUGAGAAAUUACCCUCAAAACAUAUUUUAUAGUCAUGAUUGUGUUAAAUGAGAAAAGCAUCGAAUAGAAGUGACAAAAUAGUAGCUUUAGAGAGAAUUAUUUGGAUUCAACCUUUAAUGUGGCUAUUUUAUUGUUUUUAGAAGCAGAGUAUGAAGUGGCAUGUAUGUUUGCACAGGUGGCAUUGCAUUCACAGUGCAAUUAGAAUUGCAUAAAUAUUGCUAUGACAGAAAUGGGCUUUAAAUUGACAUUAAUGAAUUAAAAAAAAAAUUAUAUAUAAAAAAAAAAAAAUGAAAUGAUACUCAAAAUAUGAAAGUAUAACCGCCAGUAGGUGGCAGCAAGUCACUGUUGAUGACUCAUUCAACAGCUGAUUGGUUCAGAAAUAAAGCAAGUGUCUUUAUGAACGGGUAACUGAAUCAUUGGCUCACUCGAGUCAUGGAUUCAUUCAGUAACGAAAAACCCGUGCCUUUGGAAUAGGGCUGUGCGAUAUGGUGAAAAUAUCUAAUUGCGAUUUUUUUGACAGAUAUUGCGAUUGCGAUUUGAUUUGCGGUUUUGAAUUUGCAAAGUCAAGCUUCAGCUCAAUAUUGUCAAUAAUGUGCAGCACAGUAUCAUUACCCUGCUGAAAAAAAAAGAAUUCUUACAGUUUCCAUUAAACCAUUACAAAAUUCAUUAGGGAGACAUGGCCUAAUGGUUAGAGAGCGAACUCGCAAUUGAAGGGUUGUGCGUUCGAGUCUCGGGCCUGCAGGA
Carassius auratus (goldfish) is the source of this 2626-nucleotide long non-coding RNA. NCBI's taxonomy places the organism in Eukaryota, Metazoa, Chordata, Actinopteri, Cypriniformes, Cyprinidae. The record is from Ensembl.